Molecule: ribosomal RNA, 1956 nt
Filed under: Triticum aestivum (bread wheat)
Lineage: Eukaryota; Viridiplantae; Streptophyta; Magnoliopsida; Poales; Poaceae
Description: partial small subunit ribosomal RNA
Source: RNAcentral
AUGGUGGGGGGUUUGAUCAAAGUAUUCAAUGAGUGGGAGAUCCAGCUACUUGUGCUCCUCAGCUUCACACUACAAUUGUUCCUCUUGUUUGCUGGAAACCUUCGGCGCCGCAGGUCCAAUGGGUUCCUACGGGUCCUCAUUUGGUUAGCUUUCUUGGGGGCAGACUUGGUAGCAGUUUAUGCCCUUGGCCUUCUCUCACGACGAGAGAACAACAUCACCACCAUCAUUGACAAGGGAAGCCAACCACUAGCUUUCUUUUGGGCACCAUUUCUCCUCAUCCACCUUGGUGGACAGGACACAGUUACCGCCUUCUCCAUGGAGGACAACAACUUGUGGCUGAGGCAUUUGCUGAAUCUGGUGGUGCAAGUUGUCCUAGCAUUCUAUGUUUUCUGGAGAUCCAUCAGAAGCUUAGACAGCUUGGGGUUUCUCACUUCAGGUGUCCUUGUGUUUGUUGCUGGAAUUAUCAAGUAUGGAGAGAGAACAUGGUGUCUUAAGCGUGGGAGUCUUAAAGGCCUUGAGAGCUCAACACGGGUCCUAACAACAUGGAGUUUUCUGCAUCUGGAUCCUGCUAUUCAGGGCUAUUCUAAGGCUGUUUAUGAUGCUCUCAGGUCAGUGUCAUAUGCCCUCCACAUCUUUUCAGCACGUGGUUACUGUAUGAGCAACUUCUACCCGCCAGGAGACAUCAACCAAACGGUGAAGAUAGGGCGGCUUCAGCUUGGCCUAGUGUACGACGAGCUCUACACAAAGGCUGUUGUACUCAGAACAAAGAGCGCCAUGAUAUUCAGAUACAUCUCUCAGUUAUCCAUUGUUGUUGCUUUUGGGCUCUUCCACGCAAUUGUAGACAAACAGAGGUAUGCCAAAGUCGACAUUGCAAUCACCUAUUCACUAUUUAUCGGAGGAUUUUUCAUAGAAGUCUGGUCAAUAAUACUUAAUUCCACGACAUCACCACGGACGUGGUUGAUGUUGAAGCGCCGGAAGUGGGAGAGGCUUGCGAAGUUGUCCUGGUUUAUUUUUUCCAAUGAUAUCAUUGGCUUGUCGGAGAAGAAGCAACGGUGGCCAAGUUCAAUCGGACAGUACGACCUUGUAGGUUGGAUGAAUGGUACCCGAGGGACUAGAUUCAGUCAACGAGUGAUGACCGUGGUCAUAAGGGUGUUCGUUGGUUUCUUUGGUGGCGAGAAGGUGAAUAUAUUUUGGAUGAGCAAAGUGUUAGACACCUGGUACAUGGAUGCUGAUGAGAUGACCAUGGCGUGUGUUGCAAAGGAGAUUAUUGUCUUAGAUUAUGAACUCAGAGGGAUGCCCACUCGAGAAUGGCCAAAUGUUGGCUCGAUGUUGGCAAAAAGGAUGCAGGGUUUUGAACAAUUUUUUGCUAGGACUGUCGUGGAGAUGCAUGUUCUGACUGAGUUACUCUUGAAUAAAUACUCCCGUCUUUUAGAUUCAGACAUGGUAGCAUCAGCAGAAGAUUAUGGUAGUAUGGUGCGGGUAUGCCGUAAACUAUCCAACUAUAUGAUGUACCUUUUGGUUGCCCACCCUACCAUGCUGCCACUCACUACCAGCACUGCAGGUCUGUGGAUAAAUUUUCAGAGCCCAUAUAAGGUGAGCGAUUUGUCAAAGGAAAUGGACAAGUACGAUCUCCAGCCAACCAAGGAAACAAUAGAGGAGAUGGUACACAUGUGGAUGAGGAUUCUUCUCUAUGCCGCUAGCAAGUCCAGGGCAGAGUUGCACGUGGCGCAACUGGCCAACACGGGAGGGGAGCUCAUCACCUUUGCCUGGCUAGUCAUGGCUUUCUUCCAGAUUGGUGAUACCCAAAGGAGAAGGAUUUCUAUCAUGAAAACACCUAAUGGAGAGACCAACGCUGAAUCGAAGGCUUACGCCUUCGACGUCAUUGCAAGUACAAGCGAGCAUGGCAGUAGCAGGCCUUCGUCGUCACCGGAUGAAAGGGCCGUCGUCAUCGAGUGA